AUUGAACGCUGGCGGCAUGCUUUACACAUGCAAGUCGAACGGUAACAGGUUAAGCUGACGAGUGGCGAACGGGUGAGUAAUGCAUCGGAACGUGCCCGGUCGUGGGGGAUACCGCAGCGAAAGCUGCGCUAAUACCGCAUACGAUCCGAGGAUGAAAGCGGGGGACCGUAAGGCCUCGCGCGAUCGGAGCGGCCGAUGUCAGAUGCGGUAGUUGGUGGGGUAAAGGCUGACCAAGCCAACGAUCUGUAGCUGGUCUGAGCGGACGACCAGCCACACUGGGCCUGAGCCACGGCCCAGCCUCCUACGGGAGGCAGCAGUGGGGAAUUUUGGACAAUGGGCGAAAGCCUGUUCCAGCAAUGCCGCGUGCAGGAAGGAGGCCUUCGGGUUGUAAACUGCUCUUGUACGGAGCGAAAAGGUCUCUUCUAAUACAGGGGGCUCAUGACGGUACCGUAAGAAGAAGCACCGGCUAACUACGUGCCAGCAGCCGCCGUAA
This 493-nucleotide ribosomal RNA is filed under the name uncultured bacterium. Its description in RNAcentral is "partial 16S ribosomal RNA". It matches the Rfam family "Bacterial small subunit ribosomal RNA", at positions 29 to 523 of the family's 1533-position model. The record is from RNAcentral.